This 206-nucleotide ribosomal RNA is filed under the name uncultured bacterium. RNAcentral's name for it is "partial 16S ribosomal RNA". It matches the Rfam family "Bacterial small subunit ribosomal RNA", at positions 568 to 774 of the family's 1533-position model. The record is from RNAcentral.
UGCGUAGGUGGUAUGGCAAGUCAGAAGUGAAAACCCAGGGCUUAACUCUGGGGCUGCUUUUGAAACUGUCAGACUGGAGUGCAGGAGAGGUAAGCGGAAUUCCUAGUGUAGCGGUGAAAUGCGUAGAUAUUAGGAGGAACAUCAGUGGCGAAGGCGGCUUACUGAACUGAAACUGACACUGAGGCACGAAAGCGUGGGAGCAAACA